GCUGGGUGUGGUGGUGCCUGCCUGUAGUCCCAGUUAUUCAGGAGGCUGAAGCAGGAGAAUCACUUGAACCCAGGAGUUUAAGGCUGCAGUGUGCUAUGAUAUGCCACUGCAUUCCAGCCUGGGUGACAGAGUGAGACCCUGUCUCUA
Unclassified non-coding RNA from Macaca fascicularis (crab-eating macaque), 147 nucleotides. It matches the Rfam family "Metazoan signal recognition particle RNA". From Rfam's summary of the family: The signal recognition particle (SRP) is a universally conserved ribonucleoprotein. Lineage: Eukaryota; Metazoa; Chordata; Mammalia; Primates; Cercopithecidae. The record is from Ensembl.